Molecule: long non-coding RNA, 354 nt
Filed under: Manihot esculenta (cassava)
Lineage: Eukaryota; Viridiplantae; Streptophyta; Magnoliopsida; Malpighiales; Euphorbiaceae
Description: long non-coding RNA (MESC_LNC009332)
Source: RNAcentral
ACUAAACUAUAUAGAGCUGAAUUUUAGAAAAUUUAGAUUUGGCUCAUGAAAGUAUAUGUAGGGUUUGAGUUUAUUUCUCUUAUGAUAAUAAUUUCAGCUUACUUAACGAGACUGUUUACUAGCCUAUUCGCGAGCCUGCUCAUGAACUCAGAAACGAGCCAAGCUCACAAGUCUUAACGAGCGGAAUACUAUAGAGCUCAAGUUUGGCUCGUUUACCAAACGAGCCUAAAAAUUAAGCUCAAGCCUGACUCAUUUAAAAAUCGAGUCAAGCUUUUAUCGAACCGAACCUCAAGUAGCUCACAGAACGGUUUGGUUCAUUUACACCCUUAGUGAGAACUAAAGUUCAAAGGCAAA